Molecule: ribosomal RNA, 236 nt
Filed under: uncultured Staphylococcus sp.
Lineage: Bacteria; Bacillati; Bacillota; Bacilli; Caryophanales; Staphylococcaceae
Description: partial 16S ribosomal RNA
Rfam family: Bacterial small subunit ribosomal RNA
Source: RNAcentral
GGGUGAGUAACACGUGGAUAACCUACCUAUAAGACUGGGAUAACUUCGGGAAACCGGAGCUAAUACCGGAUAACAUGUUGAACCGCAUGGUUCAACAGUGAAAGACGGUCUUGCUGUCACUUAUAGAUGGAUCCGCGCCGCAUUAGCUAGUUGGUAAGGUAACGGCUUACCAAGGCAACGAUGCGUAGCCGACCUGAGAGGGUGAUCGGCCACACUGGAACUGAGACACGGUCCAG